CUAGUAAGUUGGGUGAUCGCUCCCCGCCCUCUAUGCUGUCUGAAACAAUAAUAACAAAAAUUCGGACCGCUUAGAGGGCGGGGGGAGGAAAGUCCGAACACUCUCAAGCACAUAAUGAAUUAUGCGCUUGAUAAAAAGAUAGCGGCUAACGGCCGUCCACCGUAAGGUGAGAGGUGCGAACAGUGACGCCGAGGCUCGAAAGGGCCGAGGCCCUUCACCUAAAACUUUAGGUGAAGGGAGUCCUAUAGUAAUAUAGGAGUGAAACGGCUAAAUCCUUAUCGGGUGCAAGAACAAGCCCAGAAGUUUGAGAAAUUCAUCUUGAACUUUGGGAUGAAAGUAGUUCGCACGAGCUAGAAAGUAAUUUCUGGCCCAGACAGAUGAUCAUCCCUUCGGCUCGGCUCCGCCUCGCCUCAGGGUAAACUUUCAAGAAAUUUAUCCUGAGCGAACGAAGUGAGCGAAGGACAAAAUUCGGCUUACAGGCUUACUAGGACA
Molecule: RNase P RNA, 492 nt
Filed under: Candidatus Staskawiczbacteria bacterium CG10_big_fil_rev_8_21_14_0_10_38_10
Lineage: Bacteria; Candidatus Staskawicziibacteriota
Description: RNase P RNA component class A
Rfam family: Bacterial RNase P class A
About the family: Ribonuclease P (RNase P) is a ubiquitous endoribonuclease, found in archaea, bacteria and eukarya as well as chloroplasts and mitochondria. Its best characterised activity is the generation of mature 5'-ends of tRNAs by cleaving the 5'-leader elements of precursor-tRNAs.
Source: RNAcentral